CACACGAAAUUAUCAACCCAUUAAAAGAUAAAUCGCGAAGAAGCUCUAUUUGUGUACAAGUACUAAGGGCGAUUAACCACAGUUUGGUUAUUAAUAUCUUUGACCCGAGCUUGCACCAGAUGCGAUGCUUUGACACAUCCGUUUAUCAAGCGUAAUUGCAAAAAAUGAUAGAAACGUCUAGGUUGAAAAUGCUAAUGUAGUUAUGAAAAGUAGUUGCUUCUUUAAAAACGGCAACAGUUGGAAGUUUUAUUUGCUUUUCUACGCCGCAAACUGUUCGCUGAAAAUAAAUUGUGUGUACUGAA
Xenia sp. Carnegie-2017 is the source of this 302-nucleotide long non-coding RNA. RefSeq lists it as uncharacterized. NCBI's taxonomy places the organism in Eukaryota, Metazoa, Cnidaria, Anthozoa, Malacalcyonacea, Xeniidae. The record is from RefSeq and is a predicted model, not a curated record. The transcript is spliced from 2 exons.